AGAGGGAUCGUGAUUUUUGGAUCAGGCGCCAGACCACAUCUUAUGUCGUUAAUUGCCAUACACCUGGGCGCAAGGUUUAAUGAAAGUGGCGAGCAUGGCAAAAAAUUGCACGACAGAGG
Alosa sapidissima (American shad) is the source of this 119-nucleotide long non-coding RNA. RefSeq lists it as uncharacterized. The record is from RefSeq and is a predicted model, not a curated record. The transcript has 3 exons. Lineage: Eukaryota; Metazoa; Chordata; Actinopteri; Clupeiformes; Clupeidae.